Hippocampus comes (tiger tail seahorse) is the source of this 350-nucleotide long non-coding RNA. RefSeq lists it as uncharacterized. The transcript is spliced from 2 exons. NCBI's taxonomy places the organism in Eukaryota, Metazoa, Chordata, Actinopteri, Syngnathiformes, Syngnathidae. The record is from RefSeq and is a predicted model, not a curated record.
AAGUGAGAAUAUCCAAGUUUUUGAAGAGUUGGAGGAAGAAGAGGAGGUUGGAAUUUGACAUGUUGGACCUUACAUGUAUGAGCCAGACGCUAAUCAGGAUGCAAACAAUGUGCCCAGACGGCCUGACAUGGAAUGGAGACAAGACCCAUCGAGAUCAUAAGAUUGGUGUACUUGUGGUGAAUGCCAGCAAAUGCCUACAGCACUUGAAUGUGUUUGCUGCCAUGAAAUUCAAGAAGUAGUGACUGUACGUCAACAAGGAGAAGAACACUUCAAUCAGGUGCUGGACUGCAUCACCGACCAUCCUGGACUCAAUGCUGUGUGCCUAGACCCAUAUGGAUUACACGUGGCAU